GGGCCAUGAGGAUCCAUGCUUAAGGCGUGCCCUUGACAACAGGUCUAUCAACAUUCCAAAGCAAAGCUCCUUUCUGUGCUGCUUUCCCAUUCCCUUUAUUAUCCUUCAUUUGUCAGACUUGUGCCCUGAUGUCUCUGGUACAGGAAGGGAUCAGGGAAGUGCCUCUCCAAAACUUGGAUUUACAGAGAAAAUAGCAACAGCAGCAACAGGGGAAGGAUCAUCUCACCCAGUGUGGACUGAAAAUUCUGCUAACAGAAGCCUCAUUAUCUUCAAAACAUACUGGCACACUCAAAGGUCCCAGACUCCCCAAGCUUUUGUUUCUUCUCCACCAUGGCUAAUCACUUUUCUCCACAGUCGACCAAUGGCUCUUUCCUCAGCCAGAAUAUUGCAAUGUUUCAAGCUUAAAAGUUGGUUAUUAUGCAGAGAUUUCAUUGAUACAGAGCUGAGGCUCCUGGAAGAAUUGAGCACUGCCCUGACAAACAGGGUGCUUGCAGGAAAACGAUUCUGAUUGGGUAUUUGGCCACACACCGUGAAAACCACACAGGGAUAUUACAGAGAACUUGGCUAUCUAAUCUAAAGCUAUCUUGCCAGGAAAACAGAACCACUGGAGAUGCCCUUUUCAAAAAUACCCAUGUUGGGCACAGGUAAGCAUAUCCAAGUAUAUAGAUGCCUUAUA
This 676-nucleotide long non-coding RNA is filed under the name Fukomys damarensis (Damara mole-rat). RNAcentral's name for it is "lncRNA (ENSFDAG00000027724.1)". The record is from RNAcentral. Lineage: Eukaryota; Metazoa; Chordata; Mammalia; Rodentia; Bathyergidae.